UACAGAGGUCUCAAGCGUUGUUUGGAUUCAUUGGGCGUAAAGGGUGCGUAGGUGGCGCUGUAAGUCGGGUGUGAAAUUUCGGAGCUUAACUCCGAAACUGCAUUCGAUACUGCGGUGCUUGAGGACUGGAGAGGAGACUGGAAUUCAUGGUGUAGCAGUGAAAUGCGCAGAUAUCAGGAGGAACACCGGUGGCGAAGGCGGGUCUCUGGGCCGAUACUGACGCUGAGGAGCGAAAGCGUGGGGAGCGAACAGG
Molecule: ribosomal RNA, 253 nt
Filed under: uncultured bacterium
Lineage: Bacteria
Description: partial 16S ribosomal RNA
Rfam family: Bacterial small subunit ribosomal RNA
Source: RNAcentral